AUGAAGAAAUUUCCCCUCUUCUUUUGUCGCCACAAACAACUUCCCUUCUCAUUAAUUUCUGCUCUUAUAAUAUCCCUAUGUACAGUACAGAAACAGAGUCUAGCUACUACAGUACUCAACAUGUCUCUAGACGCGCCUGACCCUCACCGGGAGCCCGCCGCUGAUGGACGCCGUCAGACCAGGCGCGAACCUGGGCACGGCGCCCUUUUGCCCAACCACCUCCACGUCGAACUGUUUCACCACGGCAACGCUCACCGCCUUCAUCUCCAUCACGGCGAGCUCCUUGCCGAGGCACACGCGGAGCCCAGCCUGGAACACCGGGUACCUGUACAGGCUCUCCGGCAUGAACGUCCCGCCAGGACCCGUCAGCCACCGCUCCGGCCGGAACUUCUCGCAGUCGUCGCCCCAAAUGCGGGGCAUGCGCCCCAUGGCGUAGGGGUGGUACAUCACGCGCGCGCCGGCAGUCACGUACGUGCCGUCCGGGAGCACGUCGUCGGCGGCGCAGAACUUGGAGUCGAACUGCACCGGCGGGAACAGCCGCAUGUUCUCGUGCAGCACCGCGUGUGUGUAGUGGAGGGACUUGAGGUGCUCGUACGUGGUCUUCGACGCUGUCCUUGUCUUCUCGCCGCCGGCGGCCUCCGCGCGCAUGGCGGCCGCCACCGCGGGGUUCUUGGAGAGCAGCAUGAAGAUGGUGGUGAGCGCGGAGGACACCGUGUCGCGUCCGGCGAGGAGGAAGCUGACCACGAUGUCGCGGAGGUACUUGUCGUCGACGGCGGUGCCGUGCGCCUCCGAGGCCAUGAACCGGGACAGGAGGUCGUGGCUCCCGGCGACGCCCAGCUUCCGGCGCUGCCUUAUCAUGGCCGCCGCGAGCUCGUCGACGAGGCGGAUGGACUUCCUGAGCUCCCUCUCGGAGCCGACGUUCAGCAGCCGCUUUACCCUCCACACCAGGGGCGACGCCGCCGCGCCGCGCAUGGCGGAUAG
This 981-nucleotide ribosomal RNA is filed under the name Triticum aestivum (bread wheat). Its description in RNAcentral is "partial small subunit ribosomal RNA". Lineage: Eukaryota; Viridiplantae; Streptophyta; Magnoliopsida; Poales; Poaceae. The record is from RNAcentral.